Molecule: long non-coding RNA, 2273 nt
Organism: Gadus morhua (Atlantic cod)
Lineage: Eukaryota; Metazoa; Chordata; Actinopteri; Gadiformes; Gadidae
Exons: 2
Source: RefSeq, a predicted model, not a curated record
CACAUGUACACAUAGAUAGACAGACACACACACACACACACACACACAUGCAAAGACACAGACCGUAAGAUGGAGAGACAGACAGAAACUCACAAAUACAGACACACACACACACACACAAACAAACACACGAGCCCUGUGCCUUUCUCACUGUGACGGAAUAGCCCCCCCCUCUCCUUCCUGUAGGCCGGGGACUCUUGACCCCCGUUAACCCCGCCCCCACCGCCAUCCUAUUGGUCCGUUCCAACUGCCCACGCCCCUCCCGUCCCCGCCCGGCAGACCCCUCCCUUUACCCUGUUGCUGCUGCAGCCUAUGGCGGAGCCAGGAUUGGCUGAGCCAGGAUUGGCUGACCGGACUGGACUCACUUCCCAUUGGUCCUGCCUUCUCAACUAAACUGCCUCCUCUUCCUCCUCUUCCUCCUGACAACUUGCAUCCAACCCCAUGCUAGUUUCCCAGAGCGCGUCCGGUCAGACCCGACACGUACCACUGUGAGCUCUGGAAGGGCUGCGUUACGUUACGGACAGACGGACACGUUAACCACAGCCAGAAACACCACGGCAGCACCGUGCAGCAAACUCUAACUCUUUUCUACGCGUAUGUACAGUAGCAAAACUGUAAAGUCGGAUCGCUUUAAGGGAUCCAACCCAUGAUGUCUGGGAUCAUACGGACCAGGAACUGAUGUGUGUGUGUGGCCCUGAACACGCGCACGCACACACACACACAGGGGGACCUGCUCCGCUCUCGUUUACCACGGACUAUGUAGCCUUUACUUGUUUGGCAAUCAUUUCAGUCGGUCGCCCGCUAGAUCCAAGGGUCCGGGCGUACGAGGGGCGGUUCUUCUCUCGUAACCGGCCAAUCAGAGUCGGCACCGACCGUAUGUUGGGGCCGCUGAUUGGUCGGUAUGGGAGCAAGGCCCCGCCCACCGUACGUCCGGACCCUUGGACGUAGUGCACCGCCCCAUUUCAGUUGCUCUAUAAUCAGCCAAGCUUCCCGCCCCCCCCCUCGCCGGCUCCCACUUGCUCUCUGCCCCCGCCCAAAAUGCACGCCCCUCCCUCGCUUAAAAAGAAAACGAGCACGUAACAAACGACCCCCACCCGGUGUCAUGUGGCCCGUGUGGACGGAGGUCAUGUGACAUGGGGGGGGGGGGGGGGGGGGCCUUUGGUAGUCACCCCUGUGCCUCUCAGCACCCAGUAGCCCUGAGAGACACCGCAGCCUGGGUCCCAAUGGGGGCCCCUGCUUCCCCCUUGGGCCCCUGGUUCCCACUGUGGUUCCCAUUGUGGCCCCUGGUUCCCACUGUGGUUCCCAUUGUGGCCCCUGGUUCCCACUGUGGUUUCCAUUGUGGCCCCUGGUUCCCAUUGUGGCCCCUGGUUCCCACUGUGGUUCCCGUUGUGGCCCCUGGUCCCACUGUGGUUCCCAUUGUGGCCCCUGGUCCCACUGGGGCCCUCCCCCCCCCCCCCCCCACACCAGCUCCUCCCUCGGGGCCCCCUCUCCUCAGAGGACACUAAAUAGUGAUUCACUUUGUGACGCUCCCUGUAAGUCGGGGCUUACGGGGCCGAUCCGGGAACGAUCCGGGAAGGCCCUCAUCCCGAAUUAGCCCCGUUUAUCCCGGUACGGGAGAGGGAAUUAUUUAUGGAGAACGUGGGGAGAAAAAAAAAGGGCGAUGUGCGUGUUUCUGUGUGUGUUUGUUUUUAACAUGUGACUGGUUCUGACGGACCGUUCUAUCCUACCUACGCUUCUGUCUGCUCGCUGCUGAACCAAAGCGCCGCUGCCCGGGACCUCGUGAGCGCUCAGGGGUGUUAAACGCGCGGCACACGGGGAAAGUGUGUCAAGGGAAAGAAGAAACAGCGUUUUAAUAAACGACAAUGAAUCGGAUUUAAUUCGCCCCCACGCUGCCGGAGCUCAGUUUAACCGCCUGAGGUGGGAGAGAAAAAAAAGGAAUGAAUGCAAAUCAGUUUUACCCCACUGUAUCCUCCCCCUCCCCCCCCCUGAACCUGACACCGUUUAUUUACACUGUGACUCAGGGCCGUAGUCCAGAAACCACACACACACACACACACACACACACACACACACACACACUCCUAAACACACACACACCCACCUGUGAACCCCCAGCAUCAGGAUGGAGUCGCUGGAGGAGCUGUUUAUUAUUAUUGUUGUUGGUUUGUUUUUAACCUUGUAGCGUGACUCAAGGUCCUCUUGUGGGCUUUACACACACACACACACACACACACACACACACACACACACACACACACACACACACACACACA